RNAcentral lists this ribosomal RNA (497 nucleotides) under uncultured bacterium. RNAcentral's name for it is "partial 16S ribosomal RNA". It matches the Rfam family "Bacterial small subunit ribosomal RNA", at positions 28 to 507 of the family's 1533-position model. The record is from RNAcentral.
GAUGAACGCUGGCGGCGUGCCUAAUACAUGCAAGUCGAGCGAACAGACGAGGAGCUUGCUCCUCUGACGUUAGCCGAGGACGGGUGAGUAACGCGUGGAUAACCUACCUAUAAGACUGGGAUAACUUCGGGACACCGGAGCUAAUACCGGAUAAUCUAUUGCACCGCAUUGUUCAAUAGUGAAAGACGGUUUUGCUGUCACUUCUAGCUGCAUCUCGGCGGCAUUGGCUAGUUGUGAAGGUCACGGCUUACCACGGCGACUAGGCGUAGCCGAACUGAGAGGGUGAUAGGCGACCCUGGAACGGGGACGGGGACAAGACUCCUACGGGAGGCAGCAGUAGGGAAUCUUCCGCAACGGGCGAAAGCCUGACGGAGCAACGCCGCGUGAGUGAUGAAGGUCUUCGGAUCGGAAAACUCUGUUAUUAGGGAAGAACAAAUGUGUAAGUAACUAUGCACGUCUUGACGGUAACUAAUCAGAAAGCCACGGCUAACUACGUG